Molecule: ribosomal RNA, 407 nt
Filed under: uncultured Actinomycetales bacterium
Lineage: Bacteria; Bacillati; Actinomycetota; Actinomycetes; Actinomycetales
Description: bacterial SSU rRNA
Rfam family: Bacterial small subunit ribosomal RNA
Source: RNAcentral
UGGGGAAUAUUGCACAAUGGGCGGAAGCCUGAUGCAGCGACGCCGCGUGAGGGAUGACGGCCUUCGGGUUGUAAACCUCUUUCACCUACGACGAAGCGUGAGUGACGGUAGUAGGAGAAGAAGCACCGGCCAACUACGUGCCAGCAGCCGCGGUAAUACGUAGGGUGCGAGCGUUGUCCGGAAUUACUGGGCGUAAAGAGCUCGUAGGCGGUUUGUCACGUCGACUGUGAAAUCCCAUGGCUCAACUGUGGGCGUGCAGUCGAUACGGGCAGACUUGAGUACUGCAGGGGAGACUGGAAUUCCUGGUGUAGCGGUGAAAUGCGCAGAUAUCAGGAGGAACACCGGUGGCGAAGGCGGGUCUCUGGGCAGUAACUGACGCUGAGGAGCGAAAGCAUGGGUAGCGAACA